Talpa occidentalis (Iberian mole) is the source of this 559-nucleotide long non-coding RNA. RefSeq lists it as uncharacterized. The record is from RefSeq and is a predicted model, not a curated record. NCBI's taxonomy places the organism in Eukaryota, Metazoa, Chordata, Mammalia, Eulipotyphla, Talpidae. The transcript is spliced from 3 exons.
AGCGCGGCUACUGCGCUGGGGCGAAGCUCCGUGUGGCUGUGUCUGCGGCGCGACUCUUGGGGCUUGCGAAUUCAUUUAAAGAGGUGAUGUGCUAGUCCCAAGCCAAGGCACCAGGAUAUCUUGCAUGCUUCUACUUCUUCUCCUGAAGACUUCCGUGCUGUCAUUUGCUAGCCUUCAUCUCCCUAGGGUAAGCUUACUUGAGGAUGAGAGACUAUUGGAGCAGAACCAAAUCACCCCAACCAAGGAUACUCAGAGAUAGCUAGUUGAAUGCAGUCCACAUUACCAAAUGACAGAAAUUGGAGUUUAAAAAUAUUUUGGGGGCCUCCCUGGUGGCACAAGGGGUUAAGCACUGCACUUUGAAGCAAUCUACAGCCACUGCAGCAUGAGUUCGAUCCUCAGCAGGCCAGGGAGCAACCCACAUGGCGAAGCAGACCUCUCCUAUCUCACCCGCAAUUCCACUCAGCAGUGUAUUUCAGUCAGUCUGCCUCUUGUGUUUCCCGCUCUGUCUCUGGUGAAUCCUCUCACCCCCUGCAUCCCUGGCUUGUACCCCGCCUCUUGU